Molecule: ribosomal RNA, 326 nt
Filed under: uncultured bacterium
Lineage: Bacteria
Description: bacterial SSU rRNA
Rfam family: Bacterial small subunit ribosomal RNA
Source: RNAcentral
ACGCACCGCAAGGUGAGUGGCAGACGGGUGAGUAACGCGUGGGAACCUUCCCUUUGGUACGGAAUAACUUCGGGAAACCGAAGCUAAUACCGUAUAAGUCCUUCGGGAGAAAGAUUUAUCGCCAAAGGAUGGGCCCGCGUUGGAUUAGCUAGUUGGUAGGGUAAAGGCCUACCAAGGCUACGAUCCAUAGCUGGUCUGAGAGGAUGAUCAGCCACACUGGGACUGAGACACGGCCCAGACUCCUACGGGAGGCAGCAGUGGGGAAUUUUCCGCAAUGGGCGAAAGCCUGACGGAGCAAUGCCGCGUGGAGGUGGAAGGCCUACGGG